CUUGGGAAAAAUAUAGCAAUUUAGAUUUAAGCUGUUAGUGGCCAUCCGCUGCUCCACCAGGAUUACUUUGUGCACUUCUGUGACCGGUUUCAAAGUAUAUGGCAUUCGCAGCAAACAGCUAUGGAGACUUCCAAAAACAAAGUACUAGUGAGUACUCGAGUGUUUCC
Thalassophryne amazonica is the source of this 167-nucleotide long non-coding RNA. RefSeq lists it as uncharacterized. The record is from RefSeq and is a predicted model, not a curated record. The transcript has 3 exons. Lineage: Eukaryota; Metazoa; Chordata; Actinopteri; Batrachoidiformes; Batrachoididae.